RNAcentral lists this ribosomal RNA (254 nucleotides) under uncultured bacterium. Its description in RNAcentral is "partial 16S ribosomal RNA". It matches the Rfam family "Bacterial small subunit ribosomal RNA", at positions 524 to 776 of the family's 1533-position model. The record is from RNAcentral.
UACGUAGGGUGCGAGCGUUAAUCGGAAUUACUGGGCGUAAAGCGUGCGCAGGCGGUUCGUGAUGUCUGAUGUGAAAGCCCCGGGCUCAACCUGGGAAUUGCAUUGGAAACUAGCGGGCUGGAGUGUGGCAGAGGGGGGGUGGAAUUCCACGUGUAGCAGUGAAAUGCGUAGAGAUGUGGAGGAACACCGAUGGCGAAGGCAGCCCCCUGGGCUAACACUGACGCUCAUGCACGAAAGCGUGGGGAGCAAACAGG